GUAAGGUCAGGUGAGGUCAGACAGUAUCGUGUAGUAGAAUACUGGAACAGAGAGAGAGGGAGGUAAGGUGAGGUCAGGUAAGGUCAGGUGAGGUCAGACAGUAUCGUGUAGUAGAAUACUGGAACAGAGAGAGAGGGAGGUAAGGUGAGGUCAGGUAAGGUCAGGUGAGGUCAGACAGUAUCGUGUAGUAGAAUACUGGAACAGAGAGAGAGGGAGGUAAGGUGAGGUCAGGUAAGGUCAGGUGAGGUCAGACAGUAUCGUGUAGUAGAAUACUGGAACAGAGAGAGAGGGAGGUAAGGUGAGGUCAGGUAAGGUCAGGUGAGGUCAGACAGUAUCGUGUAGUAGAAUACUGGAACAGAGAGAGAGGGAGGUAAGGUGAGGUCAGGUAAGGUCAGGUGAGGUCAGACAGUAUCGUGUAGUAGAAUACUGGAACAGAGAGAGAGGGAGGUAAGGUGAGGUCAGGUAAGGUCAGGUGAGGUCAGGUAAGAUCAGGUGAGGUCAGGUAAGAUCAGGUGAGGUCAGGUAAGAUCAGGUGAGGUCAGGUAAGAUCAGGUGAG
Long non-coding RNA from Oncorhynchus keta (chum salmon), 557 nucleotides. RefSeq lists it as uncharacterized. NCBI's taxonomy places the organism in Eukaryota, Metazoa, Chordata, Actinopteri, Salmoniformes, Salmonidae. The transcript is spliced from 5 exons. The record is from RefSeq and is a predicted model, not a curated record.